AGAGUUUGAUCAUGGCUCAGAACGUACGCUGGCGGCACGCCUUAUACAUGCAAGUCGAACGAAGUAGCAAUACUUAGUGGCAGACGGGUGAGUAACAUGUAGGUAUCUUCCCUUUGGUGAGGAAUAACACGAGGAAACUUGUGCUAAUACCUCAUAAGUCUUUACAGAGAAAGCUUUACGCGCCGAAGGAUGAGCCUGCAUUUGAUUAGUUUGUUGGUGGGGUAAUGGCCCACCAAGACUGUGAUCAAUAGCUGAUCUGAGAGGAUGAUCAGCCACAUUGGGACUGAGACACGGCCCAAACUCCUACGGGAGGCAGCAGUAGGGAAUAUUGCACAAUGGAGGAAACUCUGAUGCAGCGAUGCCGCGUGAGUGAAGAAGGCCUUUGGGUUGUAAAGCUCUUUCGUCGGGGAAGAAAAUGACUGUACCCGAAUAAGAAGGUCCGGCUAACUUCGUGCCAGCAGCCUCGGUAAUACGAAGGGACCUAGCGUAGUUCGGAAUUACUGGGCUUAAAGAGUUCGUAGGUGGUUAAAAAAGUUGGUGGUGAAAUCCCAGAGCUUAACUCUGGAACUGCCAUCAAAACUUUUUAGCUAGAGUAUGAUAGAGGAAAGCAGAAUUUCUAGUGUAGAGGUGAAAUUCGUAGAUAUUAGAAAGAAUACCAAUUGCGAAGGCAGCUUUCUGGAUCAUUACUGACGCUGAGGAACGAAAGCAUGGGUAGCGAACAGGAUUAGAUACCCUGGUAGUCCACGCCGUAAACGAUGACAACUAGCUGUUGGGAGACAAUGUCUUUCAGUGGCGCAGCUAACGUUUUAAGUUGUCCGCCUGGGGAGUACGGCCGCAAGGCUAAAACUCAAAUGAAUUGACGGGGACCCGCACAAGCGGUGGAGCAUGUGGUUUAAUUCGAUGCAACGCGAAAAACCUUACCUACUCUUGACAUACUUGGAAGCUCUUGUAAUGAGAGUGUGCCUUUUGGAGCCAAGAUACAGGUGCUGCAUGGCUGUCGUCAGCUCGUGUCGUGAGAUGUUCCGUUAAGUCGGAUAACGAGCGCAACCCUUACCCUUAUUUGCCAGCGAUUCGGUCGGGAACUAUAAGGGGACUGCCGGUGAUAAACCGGAGGAAGGUGAGGACGACGUCAAGUCAUCAUGGCCCUUACGAGUAGGGCUACACACGUGCUACAAUGGGGAAUACAGACGGACGCUAAGCCGCGAGGUGGUGCUAAUCCUAGAAAAUUUCUCGUAGUCCGGAUUGCAGUCUGCAACUCGACUCCAUGAAGUCGGAAUCGCUAGUAAUCGCGAAUCAGCAUGUCGCGGUGAAUACGUUCUCGGGUCUUGUACACACCGCCCGUCACACCAUGGAAGUGGAUUGCACCAGAAGUAGAUAGUCUAACCUUCGGGAGGGCGUUUACCACGGUGUGCUUCAUGACUGGGGUGAAGUCGUAACAAGGUAGCCGUA
Molecule: ribosomal RNA, 1449 nt
Filed under: uncultured bacterium
Lineage: Bacteria
Description: partial 16S ribosomal RNA
Rfam family: Bacterial small subunit ribosomal RNA
Source: RNAcentral